This 45-nucleotide non-coding RNA is filed under the name Trichobilharzia regenti. Lineage: Eukaryota; Metazoa; Platyhelminthes; Trematoda; Strigeidida; Schistosomatidae. The record is from RNAcentral.
GUACUGAUGAAGAGCCUCAACUAAGGCGAAACAGCUGUCCAGUAC